UUUAGAUCUGAAAUCAACUGAGACCACCCGCUGAACUUAAGCAUAUCAAUAAGCGGAGGA
This 60-nucleotide ribosomal RNA is filed under the name Lichtheimia corymbifera. RNAcentral describes it as "partial 28S ribosomal RNA". It matches the Rfam family "Eukaryotic large subunit ribosomal RNA", at positions 1 to 57 of the family's 3401-position model. The record is from RNAcentral. Lineage: Eukaryota; Fungi; Mucoromycota; Mucoromycetes; Mucorales; Lichtheimiaceae.